Molecule: transfer RNA, 71 nt
Filed under: Loxodonta africana (African savanna elephant)
Lineage: Eukaryota; Metazoa; Chordata; Mammalia; Proboscidea; Elephantidae
Rfam family: tRNA
About the family: Transfer RNA (tRNA) molecules are approximately 80 nucleotides in length. Their secondary structure includes four short double-helical elements and three loops (D, anti-codon, and T loops).
Source: Rfam by way of RNAcentral
GCAGUGGUAGUUCAGUGGUAGACUUCUUGCCUUACAUGUGGAAAGGCCGGGUUCAAUUCCUGGCUGGUGCA